CUAGACGUUCUGAGAGUCUCAUCUCCAGGUCUUGGGUCCAUCUGAAUUUGGCCUUCCUGUAUGGUGUGAGGUAGGGAUCUGACGUCAUGCUCUUACAGGUGGCCACCGGCUGUCCCAGCAGCACUUGCUGAAGGGACCAGUCUUUCUCCUCUGGAUGGGCUCGCCCAGUAGAACUACCUCCACGUGUGUGGGUUGAUUUCAGAAUCCUCAGUCUGCCCUGGGCCGCUUUCCUUUCCCGGUGCCGUGCUGCCUUGAGGCUGUGGUCUGUAAUAGGCUUUGAAGUCAGGAGGUGUGGACCCUUCAGUGUUGUCCUAACCCAAUUCUGUGAACUCUCCAGAUGACCAGGGAUCUGGAAUCCCUGGAAGGACACGCUGGUCAAACUGACUCAAUAAGAAAUAGACAACCUCAAUAGCUGUAUGACAAGUGGGGAGAGAGUGAGCAGUCCAAGAGCUACCCUGAAGGAAAGCAGGCACACGGCUUCACAGCCUCUCCUGCCAACAUCUAAAGACUCAGAAUCAGUUCUUCACAAAGCAGCAGAGCGGAGAACCCUUCCCAAAUCAUUUUUUUGAGACUGGUAUUAUCCUGAUACCAAGACCAAACAAAGGUAUUGCACAUAGACCAAUUUGUUAUAACUAUGGACACAAAAAUUCUUAACAAAAUACUAGCAAACUAAAUCCAGAAACAUAAAUAGGAUCACCCACCAUGACCACGCAGGACUCACUCAAGAAGGCCAGGUGGUUGUUUUAACAUCCAGAAAUGAGUGGAACCGUGUCAGGUAAAUAGUGAUGAGCCCAUUCUCAGUAGAUGCAGAACAGGUAUUCGACCAUGACCAACAACACCCUUUCAUGGAAAAAUUCUAAAAGCAAAAAACAAAAACAAACAAACAAACAAACUAGGGAUAGAAGGAAUCGUCUUUCACAUGGUAAGGAACAUCUGUGAACAAUCACAGCUGACAUCAGACUUAAUGGGUAAUGGCGGAACAGUCCCCCAAGGCUGGAACAAGGGACACAUCUGUCACACCAUACUGAGGCUCUGCGGAGGCCAGGAGAGAGUUCAUCCACAUGGCAAAACCAGGGGAGACCGCUCCUGUCGGCAGACACCGGGUCUUGUGUAUGUAAAGUCUGAAGGCAUCCAUUGAAGGAGAGUUCAGCAAGGUCGCAGGAUACAACUAAGUAUACACUUCAGUUGUAUUUCUACAUACUUGCAAUGAACAACCCCAAACUGAAACUAAGAGAUAAUAAAACUCCAGGAAUGAAUUCAACAAAAAAGUACAGAACCUCUACUCUGAAAGCUACCAAGCAGUGUUGGAAGAAAUGGAGGGAGAUCUGAACAGAUGGACAACCACCCAGGUCCACAGGUCACACUGGCAGACUCCCGAGUGUCUGGGUAAGUGCAGCCACAUCGGAGAGAGGCCACGGCAGGCUGACGCUGAUCUUCGUACUGAAUUGCACAGGACCUGGAACAGCUGAAGCAGUUUUGAAAAAGACCAAAGGAGGUUCAGAGAAGAGCUCUCAGUCUGACAGUGUCUGCUGCUUGGGGUUGUGUGGGUGCUUCCCAGAGUCUAUGGCUGACUCAGGACCCAUGUAGGUCUUUUCACCUCAUGUGAGUGGACGUUGGAUUGCACAGUCGAAUGGGGCAGCCAGGCACGCGUCCGUGUUCGGGCACGCCCAACCACAGAGCAGCUGUCCUGAGCACGGGACGGUUGCCGGUACCGCAUCCCUGCCGCACUUGCCAGACUGCGGCAGCUGCCUCGCCAGCCGCGGGGGCUCCCUGCCACGUGGUUUUGGAGGCUCGGCAGGAGUGACACCUCCGCGGAGUGCCUGGGGACAAGGAUGGCUGUCUGAAGAGCAUUUCUUCCACCCUCUGCUGAGUCCCCUGCCUCUCAGGUGGGGCCCGUGGAGCGUCUCAGGAGGACACGGGGAAGGAGCUGUGCUCUCCCAACAGACCUCUCACAACUGCAGAAGAGUUGACAGGAUGGUGGCACCCGGUGGAGCCUGUCCCCAGACGAUGACAUCCACACUCUCCUCCAGGCACUGACUAUCCUGCCAUGUCCACGGCCACACACACGCAUGUCCCUCUGUGAGCACAGGCACGUGCAGCACAGCCACACUCGGGCACCUGCUGUGUGCGGGUGCACACAGGCCCACACACACACACCCAUGAGCAGUGCACAGGUGAGAGCACAAGCACAUCUGUGCAUGUGAAACCCAGAGGGGUCUGCCUGGGGCCACGCGUGUGCUCGCACACCCACGUGCACCUGCACACUCUUUUUCUUGGUAGAGUGAAUCUCAUCAUCCUGCCCCUGUGCCCUUCACACAUCUUAGGACAAGGACGUCCUGCAGACCCACAGUGUCUGGGGACACCUGCUGGGCCUGGCCUGUUUGGUGGGCAGGGGGCACUGCUCCAGGGCUGACUGGCCCCUGGCCGACCCAUGACGUGGGCAGUCUGGUUCCUGAGGGAGGGGCAGGAGAGAGGACCCAUGUCCUACAGGAAGGGUCUCUUUAGGACACAGCUGGCCCUGGCAAGUGUGCACAGCGGGGCACAGCCUGAGGGGACAGCCGAUUGAAGGUGGCCGGGAGUCCUGGGGGGAGCCUGCCUAACUGCCUAGCCCAGCCUGAGG
This 2620-nucleotide long non-coding RNA is filed under the name Marmota monax (woodchuck). The record is from RNAcentral. Lineage: Eukaryota; Metazoa; Chordata; Mammalia; Rodentia; Sciuridae.